GACGAACGCUGGCGGCGUGCUUAACACAUGCAAGUCGUACGGUAAGGCCCUUUCGGGGGUACACGAGUGGCGAACGGGUGAGUAACACGUGAGUAACCUGCCCACAACUUUGGGAUAACGCUAGGAAACUGGUGCUAAUACUGGAUAUGUGCUCCUGCUGCAUGGUGUGGGUUGGAAAGCUCCGGCGGUUGUGGAUGGACUCGCGGCCUAUCAGCUUGUUGGUGGGGUAGUGGCCUACCAAGGCGGCGACGGGUAGCCGGCCUGAGAGGGUGACCGGCCACAUUGGGACUGAGAUACGGCCCAGACUCCUACGGGAGGCAGCAGUGGGGAAUAUUGCACAAUGGGCGCAAGCCUGAUGCAGCAACGCCGCGUGCGGGAUGACGGCCUUCGGGUUGUAAACCGCUUUCAGCAGGGACGAAGCUUUUUGUGACGGUACCUGCAGAAGAAGCACCGGCUAACUACGUG
This 465-nucleotide ribosomal RNA is filed under the name uncultured bacterium. Its description in RNAcentral is "partial 16S ribosomal RNA". It matches the Rfam family "Bacterial small subunit ribosomal RNA", at positions 28 to 507 of the family's 1533-position model. The record is from RNAcentral.